GUGCAGUAAUAACAGCAAUUCAAAAACCGACCGACCUUGCAACAUUCCAGUUGCGUUAUGCAAUCAACCAGAACUUAAAUACUGAACUGUGUGGGGGGCAGACAUUUAGAUAAAACUGUCAUACUCAAUUUGUAAAUUUGUAGACAUUGACUGGCACUGUAUUGAGGCAUGUGUGACCUUGUUGGGUAAUGUACCUGGGAAUCGGGAUUGUAAUUGAAGGCAAAUCUAGUAACUGGAUGACCUGGGUUAAUGUGGACAAUAGGUGCUAAUGGUAACUAUGACAUACAGUAGUUCGUAAUUGCAAAAAUCAUCUAGACAACAUGGUCAACUCCUCGGAUUUAACAUUGGAACGUCUAUCCGUGCCUAAGCGGUGCAUCAUGGGAAUCCAAGGAGUUCUGGUAGCGACUUUUCCCCUAUUUAUAUAAUUUUUUUAUUCCAAUGCAUAAGAGCCCCCCUUUACUCCACAGUGGCCUCUGCUGGUAGAGAUGAGAAUACAGUCACCAUGCCCUAGAUACCCUCCCUGUUACACAGUCAGCAUCUAGACACUUGAAAGACCUCCGACAGAGCUCUGACAUCAGCAGUAACAAUACAGCAUCUAUGAUUCCAACACUGGCUUGCAAGCUAUGCCUGAGGAAGAAACUGGGGCGUUUGAGGCUAGCUAGGAAAGGCAAGUCUAUAAUUGCUGGGGAUGACAUAUACUAGUGUAGAGAACCCACAUCAAAUCAGUUGCAAAAUCAUGUGCUUGUUUGAUGUUCAUACAAAAAAAGUGAUUGAAUUCACAGCCAUUUGCGGGGGAAAAAAUUACUGCUUAUAAAAAAUGCAGUAUGCUUCACGCUUUUUGAUUUGUAAUCAAAGGCCGUCAUGAGAAUGAAUUCUUUGUUACGUAUGUAGUUUUUUAAAAACCUCUGGGUACUAGCUAAAAUACAGUAUGACUCAAUAUGUUUAAUAUGUUUGUUAAAGUAUAGUACAGUUUAACUUGGCCUGUAAUAUAGUGACAGAAGAUAGGGAUUAGCGAUGGGCAGCUGGCCUUUAUCGUGUGGCUUUAUUUCUAGGAAAUGUAUUUCCAAAACAAAAAUGUUAAGGACUGUUGAGAUGUACUGUAACUACUUACACAAAUUGUUCUGUCUCCUUUUUUUAUUUUUUAAUUCACCAGAUUCCAGCACUUUCCAGUGGAAAGACCAACAUAUUUGCCUCCCUUUCUCAUGAUAUAGAAAAGUGUAAUCAAGAAACAACAGCACAGAAACUCCCUUAUAUUAUGUGUUAUGGCAAAGGGCGGGUGAUUUUUACAUUGUUGUGGCUUUGCAAUGAAAAGGGUAACUUUGGGCAAUGUCAGCUUCUAACAUUGUAUUAUGCCGAAAUUCUUUUCUUCUAAAGUUACUGCCUCUCUGUAUAUACUACCAGGUGUUUCCCUAUACAUGUACAUUUAACUAUUUGGAAAGACCAAUUAUUAUUAUUUUUUUUUAUUUCAACCUGGCUCACCACUGCCACCCCAACGCUGACUGGGGAGAGACGAAGAUGGACAUACACGUCCUCUGUAAUGUGUGCUGUCAGCCGUCCUCUACUUUUCACUCUGCAGGCCCGCCAUGCAGCCACCUCAGAGCUACAGCAUCGGAGGACCACGCAGCUCCGGGGAACUUACAGGCAAGCCCGCAGGCUCCCGGACAGUCUACAGGGGUGGCUGGUGUGCUGUGAGCUGAGGACACCCUGGCCAUCCUAAGCCCCCCUCUCCACCCGGGCGGCGCUUGGCCAAUUGUGCGCUGCCCCCUGGGAACUCCCGUCCACGGUCAGAAGUGGAAUAGUCUGGACUUGAACCGGCGCCCUCCAGGCUAUAGGGCGCAUCCUGGACUCCACGUGGAGUGCCUUUACCGGAUGCCACUCGGGAAUUCUCCCAAACAGUUUUUUUUUUUUACUGGUUCUAACCUUCUUCAAACCUAAAAGCGAAAUGCAAAUGGCCUCCUCAGUGUGUGUCACUGCCUUCUUUUUUGUUGAACAUUUAUUCACAGGAAUCUGGCAUUCUCCAACAGCGCUGAAUGCGUUUGGACUUGCUAUGAAGCUGGAUUGCGAUAAUUCCUGUCAUAGCCCCCGGGCUAUCAUUGGCAGUCUUCACCUCAAUUUCCGUUCUUCCCUGUAAAGAAAAAGUAAAUCCAGUCAGACUGACGUACAGAAACACUUUCUCAUGUUAUCAGCGCAACGCUAACAGACUUCUGACCUGCACAGCCAAUCAGUCUACCCACAAUGGGAUUCAUGUUAAUGUCCAGUCACCUGUCCUGCCGGUGAACAAUGGUUAAAGUAGCUUCAAAUUACAUUUUCAAAGUUAAUUUUUUUUCCUACCCGCUUUAUUAUUUUAUGAUUUUUGCAAUAUUGUGCGUGUUGAGUUUAGGAGCUGCUGUUCAUAGACAUAGGUAACCCAUGAUCUUUACACAAAGAGUCUUGUAAGGUAGAAAGGAUCAAGUUUAUUUUUGUGUUGCUAGCAAUACACAUCUGUGCACUGGAUGCUCUCUCUACUAUAGAGACACUUUGACUGAUCAAUCCUGAACCUUGGUACUGGAGAAUAUGUCUGCUUGUGGCCAGUCACUGGCAGUUCCAUUGGUGCCAUGGCUCAGACACUAUCUGAAUUCCAAUCACAUUGUAGCCACAACUUUAAACACUCCUCAUAAAAGCUAGGUAAAUCAAAAUAAACUUUGUAUUGGAGGAGACAAACAUGUUUUUACAAAAGUAUCAGAAAAGACAUUUGCCUACUAGAUCAAUGAUGUUUUACUACUGUUACAGAAAACUGGGUAAACAGGCCUGAGCCAUUUCUACAGUGGUUAAGACGCUCGUACGGGGAUACAAGAAAGAUUUUAAGCAAAUCUGUUUUACUGGCAAUAGUUCUAUAUUCCAAUGUAUCACUAUUAUAUUAUUGAAGGGACAAAUAAAACCGCUUUUUAAUAUGUUUAAUAUGUAAAACAGCUAUUCGGAAGCGAUUUAAAUGGGUCUCUUUAGACAGAUGUAUGAAAUGCACCUGUGACUAGCCAUAGUAAUAAUGCUAUUAUACAAGAGAAGUCCAGUUUUUAUUGCGGAUAUAGGAUUCAGAUAACAAGGGCAGCUGUUGAACCCUAAUGGCAUGCAGAACUGUGAGAAAGUAGCUGUUUCAAUCCUUGCACUUAACAAAGACUUUCUUGUGUCAAAAUUGUUAAUCUGUGAAUAAUAUCCAUUUAAAUCUGUAGUGUGCAAAAAAUAUCAUAAUGGUUACUUCAUAAAUAAAAAAAGAGGUUUGCCUUUU
Acipenser ruthenus (sterlet) is the source of this 3262-nucleotide long non-coding RNA. RefSeq lists it as uncharacterized. NCBI's taxonomy places the organism in Eukaryota, Metazoa, Chordata, Actinopteri, Acipenseriformes, Acipenseridae. The transcript has 3 exons. The record is from RefSeq and is a predicted model, not a curated record.